Small nuclear RNA from Benincasa hispida (wax gourd), 102 nucleotides. The record is from RefSeq and is a predicted model, not a curated record. Lineage: Eukaryota; Viridiplantae; Streptophyta; Magnoliopsida; Cucurbitales; Cucurbitaceae.
GUCCUUUCAAAAGCAUCUGAUAAAAUUGAAUGAUACAAAGAAGAUCAGCAAGGUCUCUAUGUAAAGAUGACAUGCACAAAUCGAGAAAUAGUCCAAAUUUUU